RNAcentral lists this ribosomal RNA (503 nucleotides) under uncultured bacterium. RNAcentral's name for it is "partial 16S ribosomal RNA". It matches the Rfam family "Bacterial small subunit ribosomal RNA", at positions 30 to 523 of the family's 1533-position model. The record is from RNAcentral.
AUUGAACGCUGGCGGCAGGCUUAACACAUGCAAGUCGAGCGGGGUGAUGGUGCUUGCACUAUCACUUAGCGGCGGACGGGUGAGUAAUGCUUAGGAAUCUGCCUAUUAGUGGGGGACAACAUCUCGAAAGGGAUGCUAAUACCGCAUACGUCCUACGGGAGAAAGCAGGGGAUCACUUGUGACCUUGCGCUAAUAGAUGAGCCUAAGUCGGAUUAGCUAGUUGGUGGGGUAAAGGCCUACCAAGGCGACGAUCUGUAGCGGGUCUGAGAGGAUGAUCCGCCACACUGGGACUGGGACACGGCCCAGACUACUACGGGAGGCAGCAGUGGGGAAUAUUGGACAAUGGGGGGAACCCUGAUCCAGCCAUGCCGCGUGUGUGAAGAAGGCCUUAUGGUUGUAAAGCACUUUAAGCGAGGAGGAGGCUCUUUUGGUUAAUACCCAAGAUGAGUGGACGUUACUUGCAGAAUAAGCACCGGCUAACUCUGUGCCAGCCGCCGCAGUAA